AGUGAACGCUGGCGGUAGGCCUAACACAUGCAAGUCGAACGGCAGCACAGUAAGAGCUUGCUCUUACGGGUGGCGAGUGGCGGACGGGUGAGGAAUACAUCGGAAUCUACUUUUUCGUGGGGGAUAACGUAGGGAAACUUGCGCUAAUACCGCAUACGACCUACGGGUGAAAGCAGUGGAUCUUCGGACCUUGCGCGAUUGAAUGAGCCGAUGUCGGAUUAGCUAGUUGGCGGGGUAAAGGCCCACCAAGGCGACGAUCCGUAGCUGGUCUGAGAGGAUGAUCAGCCACACUGGAACUGAGACACGGUCCAGACUCCUACGGGAGGCAGCAGUGGGGAAUAUUGGACAAUGGGCGCAAGCCUGAUCCAGCCAUACCGCGUGGGUGAAGAAGGCCUUCGGGUUGUAAAGCCCUUUUGUUGGGAAAGAAAAGCAGCAGGUUAAUACCCCGCUGUUCUGACGGUACCCAAAGAAUAAGCACCGGCUAACUUCGUG
This 492-nucleotide ribosomal RNA is filed under the name uncultured bacterium. RNAcentral describes it as "partial 16S ribosomal RNA". It matches the Rfam family "Bacterial small subunit ribosomal RNA", at positions 29 to 507 of the family's 1533-position model. The record is from RNAcentral.